UUUCCGUAGGUGAACCUGCGGAAGGAUCAUUACAAAUCCAAAAAAUAACCCGUUAAAAUGUUCUCGACCUUGGUAGCCAUGAUGAUUUAUUUUCGUUAUUGGCAAUAUGUUAGUGGCAUGUAUUCCAUAUAUAUGCUACCGACUUCCAAGGUUCGAAUUUUAAUAACUAUACUAUGGACAACACAGUAAAAAGUAAACAAAAACAACUUUUAACAAUGGAUCUCUAGGCUCUUGCAUCGAUGAAGAACGCAC
This 252-nucleotide unclassified non-coding RNA is filed under the name plant metagenome. Its description in RNAcentral is "partial contains small subunit ribosomal RNA, internal transcribed spacer 1, and 5.8S ribosomal RNA". The stretch from base 205 to 252 matches the Rfam family "5.8S ribosomal RNA", at positions 1 to 48 of the family's 154-position model. The record is from RNAcentral.